This 3639-nucleotide long non-coding RNA is filed under the name Triticum aestivum (bread wheat). Its description in RNAcentral is "long non-coding RNA (TAES_LNC015887)". The record is from RNAcentral. Lineage: Eukaryota; Viridiplantae; Streptophyta; Magnoliopsida; Poales; Poaceae.
UGAGCUGUUGGGUGGCUCUGAAGAUGUGUUUGUGUUAGAGAUUAGUUUACAUGCAAAGUAAGUUCUUUAAGAAAAGUAUUACUGCGCACCACUCCAAUUUGUUCCUUGAACUGAUAAGAUCUGGUCCAGUAGUACUGCUGCAAAUAUGAGGCAAGACGUUCUGCCUGUUUCUAUUAUCCCGCACAAUAAACAAUAUGUGUGUACUCACCAUAGUGGUGAAGCACAUACACUUCAACACUUCCGCUUCGGUACAACCCCCCUAAACACAAGAAGGGCUGAGAUUAAUCCGUACCCUUUCAUACUAAGGGGCAUGAUGGCCAUAUUUAAAUAAGUUUUUUUUUGAGUAACCGUUGUACCUAGCGUACGAACGCCUAACCGGCCAUGGGUGCGCGGCGGCCAGCCCAUUUAAUCCUUCUUUUACUGGCAACCCAGUAACAUCGAAAAAUUAUGCACGCAACGUGAUUCGAACUUGGAACUUCCGAUUCUAAUACACAAUGCAGUCACCAAUCGGGACAACUUACAUUGGUGUGUGGUUUCCAUUUUUCUGCUUCUUGUACACAACGAAGUAGCAUGCUUGGCCGGCCCAACAGGCCCGACGGCGUGUCGGCCCAUGGCCGCCGCAUUUUUAAUCCAUUUUAUUUUUUCGUUCUUUCAUUUUUUCCUUUCUUGAGUUUAUCUUUUUUCGUGCACAAUUUUCAGCAACUGUUGGGAAUUUGUUAGCAAUUUUCAUAAAAUUGUAAAUAUUUUAACAUUUUCAUAAAUAAUUUGAAAUUCCAAAAUUGUUGAUAAAUUAAAAAUAAAUGGUUAGAACAUAAAAAUUUGUUCAGGUUGGUUCAUAAUUAUCGAAAUUUCAUACAUGAAAUAAAAGAAGCAUUGAAUUUAAGAAAACUACGUGCUCACGGAUGCAAUCGUCUGGACUAGUCCUGCAACCUAUUCUUAACUGGUGUUUUUUUGCACUAUUGAUAAAUGACCCUAACUUUUUGCGGUAGCCUGGCAUGGACAUAAUAGGCAUCCAUGCCUGAUUCAAAUGAGUUGCGACACUGUUGGCAUGUUGCAACACGUGUGGCCAUUAUAUAGGAUGUUAUUCACCGAAAUAAUUAAAAAAUAUCAGAAACUUGUCUUAUGAAAGUACUUGUUGGCAUGGUGGCAUGAAAUGGUGAUACAUGGUGAUGGAAAAAAAUAGUUCAUUUGACGGAUGUCGAAAAAUGAGGUGUUCACGAAUAGACCCGAACACCCACUGUCUAACAUGUUUUUUUUUGUACACCCAGUGCAUGCCCAUGGUAGGCAUAUAUGUCUGAUUUGAAUGAAUUCGGGCACCGUUUGCAUGUUGCAAUAUGCCCGGCCAUUUAUCAGCCCUUUUUCACCGAGAAAACUUCAGAAAAUACAAAGCUUGUCGAAAACGGGAACAUCCUGGCAUGAUGGCAUGAAUUGGUGAUACAAGGUGAUGGGGAAAAAUUGAGGCCAUCUGGCGGAUGCAAAAUAUAAGGUGUUCACAAACAGACCCUUCUGGCCACCCGAACACCCUCUGUAUAACAUGGUUUUUGUUGUACAUGUGAUGAAUGACCCUAGAUUUUUCUACCAAUGGUGUGUGUGCCCAUAGUAGGCAUCCAUGCCUGGUUUGAAUGAAUUCGGACACCGUUUGCACGUUGCGACGCAUUUGGCUAUUUAUCGGCCUUUUCACCGAGAAAACCCCAGAAAAUACAUAACUUUUCGAAAGCGAAAAAAACCUGACAUGGUGGCAUGAAUUGGUGAUACAAGGUGAUGGAAAAAAAGUUCCUCGAUUUUCAAAAAGCUAAUGAAUUUUUAAAAAAUCAUGAGAUUUUAAAAAAUUUCAGGAAAUUUGGAACAAAAAUGAUCACAGAGAUUUGAAAAGAAAAACAAAAAUUAAAAAGCUGCAGGGAUUUGUAAAUUCACGAAUUUGACUAAAAAGGAAAAAAGGAAAAAAGAAACUAAAACCGGAAAAAAAGGAAAAUAAAUAAAUAAAUGACCGGCGAACAAAAAGUAAAAAAAAGUACACUGUACAACAAUAUGUAGGCUUCCCAGUUGGUUGUCGCAGGUAGUUGUGAACAUUGAGGUUUUUUGUUCGAAUCCCAUGUGGGCAUCCCUUUUUUGAACUCUAGGAAAAAAAAGUGUAGCAAAAGGAAAGUGUAAAAUGGGCCGGCCCACGAUGGAGGAGAGGCGGUCAGGACGUGCAAACGCGUACGUAUACGUCCCGAGACCCAUACAGAGGUGGGUAUACGUUCCUCUCAAAAGACCAUUAUGCCCUUAUACGUUUUGUGGAGGGGGGUUGUACCGAAGCGGGACUCACACUUCAAAUCAUCCAUUCUCUUGUUCCCCAAAAUAAAUUCAUUCGUUCUAACCAUUAGCCAUAUGAUUGUACAGAUAGACCAUAUAAAUGGGAUUCUUUCUGUAAAUAGAAAUCAACCUGAUUUGAUUAUGUUUCAUGUCCAUAAUAGUUUUCUCUUGGUAGAAAAAACAUAAACAUGUACAUACAGAUUAUAUUUCUGCUCAUUGCAAGAGGAUAUGAGGAUUUCUACUAUUAUACCGACAGAAUGAUAGCAUCACCUCAAGCAUGUAACCGUGGGAGUUAGUCCUUCAUUAAUGAUUUGGUAAGUUGUCCAUACUGCCUCGAGGGGGGAAGUUUUUAUCACUGCUUUUUGGUUGUAUUUAUGUAAGAGGCAUGGAGGGAGCUGGAACUAAUUUGUGAUUUCUCCUGGCCAUUUUUUUCUUCUAAAAAGAGAAAGUUUUCCGGUGAUCAAACAUUGUAGAUCAGAAAUGUUCUUCAUCGAUGCCCAUCCCAAUUGCUAACAAUUCUUUUGCACACUCAGGUUUGUGCUUUUCAGUGGUAAUUUACUAAACAUACUUUGGGUUAUGAUCCUUUGACAUACACUUAUGCCCUCCCCUACACAUUAUUUUUAGGUUGCCAAAUAUAGUACGAAGGAACUAUAGCAAGUGAAUUGUCGAGUUUGCCAAGCAUAAUGGCACACCUAAUUUUGGCAGAUCAUAUAAAGAGGAUAUCGAGCAAAGAUGCUUUGAGAUUUACCCAUGACUAUAUGCGGUUCCUAUAAACUCCUGUUGCAUGUUUAAUGAUUGCCACAAUAGUUUCUUUUAAUGCACCAGAGAAUUAUAUUUUUUGUAUCAGGUAAAUAAUUCUUUUCUCACUGUUAUUUUUCCAGAUCAAGAUCGAGAUAUAGACAAGGGGUAAUGGCAGCUCGUGCAGUGGCAGAGUGCUGGGGAGGCUGCCGGUGUCGUUGCUGAGAGCUGGGGAGGCUGCUGGUGCCAUGGCCGAGCGAUUGGGCGAGCUGCCGUGGUGGAUGUGGGAGAGCGACCAGUAAGGCAAGACAGAGUUGUGCUGUUGGUUAGGUCCAUGGCGAGGUGCCACGAGAUGGCAUCAGAUUUAUUGGAGGAUAUACAUGAUGACUAGGGUUGAGAAUAAUAUUGCUACUCCUGCAAUUUUGAAUCAUGUGUGAGAGGAUAGAACAGAGAAAAGGAAUAUGAGGCAAUUUUGUUUGCUAUAUGCUUUGUGUGCCGAUGCUUUUGUACGGAGAGAGACACUUCAUGUGAUGUUGCUAUGUGGCCUUCUAUGCUCUGAUGUGUGCUAACUUUGUACAAGGGACAUUCAUAUAUUGGAAUUCAAAU